This 88-nucleotide ribosomal RNA is filed under the name Candidatus Cryptobacteroides fimicaballi. The record is from RNAcentral. Lineage: Bacteria; Pseudomonadati; Bacteroidota; Bacteroidia; Bacteroidales.
CACCUCUUCCCAUCCCGAACAGAGAAGUUAAGCCCGCUAACGCCGAUGGUACUGCUACACCAAGUGGGAGAGUAGGUAGCCGCCGUUC